UACGAAGGGGGCUAGCGUUGCUCGGAAUUACUGGGCGUAAAGCGCGCGCAGGCGGCUAUCCAAGUCAGUGGUGAAAGCCCGGAGCUCAACUCCGGAAUUGCCAUUGAAACUGUUUAGCUUGAGGACGAGAGAGGUGAGUGGAAUUCCCAGUGUAGAGGUGAAAUUCGUAGAUAUUGGGAAGAACACCGGUGGCGAAGGCGGCUCACUGGCUCGUUUCUGACGCUCAGGCGCGACAGCGUGGGGAUCAAACAGG
This 253-nucleotide ribosomal RNA is filed under the name uncultured bacterium. Its description in RNAcentral is "partial 16S ribosomal RNA". It matches the Rfam family "Bacterial small subunit ribosomal RNA", at positions 524 to 776 of the family's 1533-position model. The record is from RNAcentral.